Molecule: ribosomal RNA, 492 nt
Filed under: uncultured bacterium
Lineage: Bacteria
Description: bacterial SSU rRNA
Rfam family: Bacterial small subunit ribosomal RNA
Source: RNAcentral
AUUGAACGCUGGCGGCAGGCCUAACACAUGCAAGUCGAGCGGUAGAGAGGUGCUUGCAUCUCUUGAGAGCGGCGGACGGGUGAGUAAUGCCUAGGAAUCUGCCUAGUGGUGGGGGAUAACGUUCGGAAACGGACGCUAAUACCGCAUACGUCCUACGGGAGAAAGCGGGGGGAUCUUCGGACCUCGCGCCAUUAGAUGAGCCUAGGUCGGAUUAGCUAGUUGGUGAGGUAAUGGCUCACCAAGGCGACGAUCCGUAACUGGUCUGAGAGGAUGAUCAGUCACACUGGAACUGAGACACGGUCCAGACUCCUACGGGAGGCAGCAGUGGGGAAUAUUGGACAAUGGGCGAAAGCCUGAUCCAGCCAUGCCGCGUGUGUGAAGAAGGUCUUCGGAUUGUAAAGCACUUUAAGUUGGGAGGAAGGGUAGUAACCUAAUACGUUGCUACUUUGACGUUACCGACAGAAUAAGCACCGGCUAACUUCGUGCCAGCAG